CUCGCGACUUGAUAGUGCAAUUUCACUGUACGUGUCGCAAAAACAUUUUGGUGAUGUCCUUAUAAAUUACUGCUGUACCAGGACCUGGUGUUUUGGUCCACGCUAAAUGUGUAUUUAUAUGUUUCUGUAUACAGAUUUUCGUUAAACCUACGUUUCUUUGCGGACAGAUUUGUGCGCAAAAAUGCAUGAUUUUGUACAAAUGACACAGGUGUUCUUGUUAAAAAAUGUGUGCAAAAUGAAAUAGCUUAAAUUCCUACAAAUGAAAGAUUCAAAUCCAGUUAGUGUGUGCACACGCCGGCACGGAUGGGUUUGCCUCCUCUUUUGUAUGCACACUAAAAUAUUAUGAACGUUUUUGUUCGCAGCUUAUGAAUUUCUCUGUGCGUGCUCCGCUGAUGCAUUUUUAAUACGACACUGUGAAAAACAUUGUUAUUCAGGCGCGUUAAAAAAUGCAUAAGCGCAGCAUGGUCAGGGAAAUCUGUAAAUUGUCAAUCGAAACGUCCAUAAGAUUUUAGUGUCCGCAUUGAAUGGGGAUGUGGGUGAAGGUGAGAGUGGUAUCGACUCGGCGUACCGUCACGCCUGUGUGACUGCUUGUCCGCAGCCCACGAUUGCGAUGGCGUUCACGUCUGAGCGAGCUGGUCAGGGUCACGCGUCUCCCGGGCAUUGGCGUCAUAGUCGCAGCCUGGGAUGGGGCAGGUGCUGCCUCGUUUGUGUCGUUUGCUCGCGUUCUCCUCCUGGAGGAGCAGACUCGCCCGCCAUGCGCGCGUGGGGUGCGGGUGCCGCCGUCCGCCCGGUGUGGAGCGCCGUCCGACCGGCGCUUAUGGUAGCGCAGGUCUGCUCUGUGCUGGUCAUCAGCCUCGUGUCGACGGCCAGCAGGCUGCCGCCGUGGUACACCGCCCACGCCCUGCUUGUGGCCGCCUUCGUCGCGAGCAUGGGCGCCACGUUCGCCUUCUCCGAGCCCCUGCUGGCCGUCCCCGAGAGGGGCAUCAAGAACCGCGUCAGAUACUUUUCGUCCCUCGUCGGGUACUCGGAGGUCGUCACGCUGGUGCUGCUGUGGCUGCGAGCGGCCGGGCGCUGGGCCGGCAUGUGGACCCACAUCGGUGACCUGGAGGGCCGCCUGUGGGGGCGCGGGGAGCGCCACCUGCCGCGCCUGCGCUCGCACACCAGGGCCGUCACGUGCGUCUUUCUCAUCGUCCACAUUCCUCAAGAGGCCUCUAUCGUGUGGCGAAGGCUGGCCUCUGUUUCGAGCCUGUACGACCUGGGUCAGAUGACGUGCAGCCUGUGCAUCUUGUUGGUGUUUAACGUCAGCGCCAUGCUGCUCGUCGUGCUGAGCGACAUGCUGGCAGAGUGCUUCCGCGCGCUCACUGCCAAGUUACAUUGCGCUUCGAAGAAGAACGGUGGCCAGAUCCCGCCGGGCGUCGUGGAGGACGUCAGGGUCCUGUACAACGAGGUGCGCAGGCUGACGGACGCCCUGGACGACAUCCUGGGCGCCAUACUGCUUGUGAUGCUCUUUGCGGACGGCCUCUUCAUUUGCCGGUUCCUCCUCCACUGGUUCACGCCCUCUGUUCACACACUGUACGCAUACCUGACUGUGGGCAUCGUGACGGCCAGGUUCGUCUUCACGAUCCACACGGUCUCUUCGGUGUCCAGCGAGUGGGAGUCGACUAGGUCGCACCUGUACAGAAUGUCACCGCACUUGUGCGGGAAGGAGGUUUCGCGCUUUAUCCUGCAGGUCACCACUGACCAAAUUUCACUGACAGCUCUUGGCAUUGUGCCCAUAACGAAACCUCUCAUGCUUGCGUUCCGGUUGAGGCUAAGGUUUUCGAUCAUCUCCCCGCAUUACCUUCACUCUCAACCCCUCUUCCGCACCAAAGCAAUAUCAUCAGGGUGAGAGUGGCAUUGAUCCGCUCUUCGGUGUGCUCGUCAGUUGGUCAUCACCGCUGGCCGUCACUCGGCUCGAUACAGUUCUGCAGUCGUCUGGUCGGUGUCGUCCCGGAGGAAGUGUGGGUGUAAGCGUAAGCGCGGCUAGGCCCGGAUGUGCGCGGGCCGCGCGUCCCGGCGGGGGUCGGCGCAUGGUUCCGCGCGAGCGUGGCCACACUGUGGCCACGCCCCGCCGGUACCUGGUGUGGUCGGCCAUUCGGCCGGCGCUC
RNA transcript from Frankliniella occidentalis (western flower thrips), 2147 nucleotides. It is a transcript of the gene named gustatory receptor for sugar taste 64f-like, with no coding region annotated. Lineage: Eukaryota; Metazoa; Arthropoda; Insecta; Thysanoptera; Thripidae. The record is from RefSeq and is a predicted model, not a curated record. The transcript is spliced from 9 exons.